UAUGGGCAAUUUGUGUCUUUAUUUUUUACUAUCUUCUAAACAAAUCAAUAGAGCACCUCAGCAUCAUUUUAAUUGAGACUUAGAAUCCCAGUUGUUUAAUUUUGAAAAGCUUUCAAGUUAUAAAUGCAAAAAUUGUCAAAAAGGUGUAUAAUAUUUAUAUUUUCUAACUUUUAAGAUGCAAUCUAAUUGGAUUAAAACUGUGUACAUAUUUUAUAGUAGAAAAUAAUGAAUACUUUGUAUAAUUAUUCUAACUUUACCUAUUAUUCCUUCUCAUUAGUUGCUACUACUACAUCAACUACUGCUACAAUUGGAACUGAAACUCCAUCAACAAAUGGAAGCAUUAAUGAUAACAUUGUGGCUGGUACAGUCAGUGGUACUGUACUAUUGAUAUUGAUCAUAAUAACGAUAUGUGUUGUGAUCGCUUUUAAUAAAAA
Amphimedon queenslandica is the source of this 434-nucleotide long non-coding RNA. RefSeq lists it as uncharacterized. Lineage: Eukaryota; Metazoa; Porifera; Demospongiae; Haplosclerida; Niphatidae. The record is from RefSeq and is a predicted model, not a curated record. The transcript has 2 exons.